This 257-nucleotide ribosomal RNA is filed under the name uncultured prokaryote. RNAcentral's name for it is "partial 16S ribosomal RNA". It matches the Rfam family "Bacterial small subunit ribosomal RNA", at positions 521 to 777 of the family's 1533-position model. The record is from RNAcentral.
UAAUACGUAGGGGGCGAGCGUUGUCCGGAAUUAUUGGGCGUAAAGAGCGUGUAGGCGGUUUGGUAAGUCUGCCGUGAAAACCUGGGACUUAACCCCGGGCGUGCGGUGGAAACUGCCAGGCUAGAGGAUGGUAGAGGCGAGUGGAAUUCCGAGUGUAGCGGUGAAAUGCGCAGAUAUUCGGAGGAACACCAGUAGCGAAGGCGGCUCGCUGGGCCAUACCUGACGCUGAGACGCGAAAGCGUGGGGAGCAAACAGGA